GGACUACCGGGGUAUCUAAUCCCGUUUGCUCCCCUAGCUUUCGCGCCUCAGCGUCAGAAGAGGGCCAGCACGUCGCUUUCGCCACCGGCGUUCCUUCCGAUAUCAACGCAUUUCACCGCUCCACCGGAAGUUCCACAUGCCCCUACCUCCCUCGAGUUCACCAGUAUCCAAGGCACUUUUCCGGUUGAGCCGAAAGAUUUCACCCCGGACUUGGUAAACCGCCUACGCGCCCUUUAAGCCCAGUGAAUCCGAAUAACGUUAGGACGGUUCGUCUUACCGCGGCUGCUGGCAC
RNAcentral lists this ribosomal RNA (292 nucleotides) under uncultured Planctomycetota bacterium. RNAcentral's name for it is "uncultured planctomycete partial 16S ribosomal RNA". Lineage: Bacteria; Pseudomonadati; Planctomycetota. The record is from RNAcentral.